AGUGAACGCUGGCGGUAGGCCUAACACAUGCAAGUCGAACGGCAGCACAGUAAGAGCUUGCUCUUACGGGUGGCGAGUGGCGGACGGGUGAGGAAUACAUCGGACUCUACUUUUUCGUGGGGGAUAACGUAGGGAAACUUACGCUAAUAUCGCAUACGACCUACUGGUGAAAGCAGGGGAUCUUCGGACCUUGCGCGAUUGAAUGAUCCGAUGUCGGAUUAGCUAGUUGGCGGGGUAAAGGCCCACCAAGGCGACGAUCCGUAGCUGGUCUGAGAGGAUGAUCAGCCACACUGGAACUGAGACACGGUCCAGACUCGUACGGGAGGCAGCAGUGGGGAAUAUUGGACAAUGGGCGCAAGCCUGAUCCAGCCAUACCGCGUGGGUGAAGAAGGCCUUCGGGUUGUAAAGCCCUUUUGUUGGGAAAGAAAAGCAGCAGGUUAAUACCCCGCUGUUCUGACGGUACCCAAAGAAUAAGCACCGGCUAACUUCGUG
RNAcentral lists this ribosomal RNA (492 nucleotides) under uncultured bacterium. RNAcentral describes it as "partial 16S ribosomal RNA". It matches the Rfam family "Bacterial small subunit ribosomal RNA", at positions 29 to 507 of the family's 1533-position model. The record is from RNAcentral.